Molecule: ribosomal RNA, 497 nt
Filed under: uncultured bacterium
Lineage: Bacteria
Description: partial 16S ribosomal RNA
Rfam family: Bacterial small subunit ribosomal RNA
Source: RNAcentral
GAUGAACGCUGGCGGCGUGCCUAAUACAUGCAAGUCGAGCGAACAGAUGAGGCUCUUGCUCCUCUGACGUUAGCGGCGGGCGGGUGAGUAACACGUGGAUAACCUCCCUAUAAGACUGGUAUCACUUCGGGAAACCGGAGCUAAUCCCGGAUAAUAUCUUGCACCGCAUGGUUCGAUAGUGAAAGACGGUUUUGCUGUCACUUAUAGCUGGAUCCGCGCCGCAUUAGCUAGUUGGUACGUUAACGGCUUUCCAAGGCAACGAUGCGUAGCCGACCGGAGAGAGGGAUCGGCGACAUGGGAACGGAGACAGGGUCAAGACUCCUAAGGGAGGCAGCAGUAGGGAACCGGCCGCAAUGGGCGAAAGCAUGACGGAGCAAGGCGGCGUGAGUGAUGAAGGCGUCCGGAGCGUAAAACUCGCUUACUAGUGAAGAACAAAUGUGUAAGGAAAUAUGCAGGGCGUGACGGUAACUAAUCAGAAAGCCACGGCUAACUACGUG